UACGAAGGGGGCUAGCGUUGCUCGGAAUUACUGGGCGUAAAGGGCUCGUAGGCGGCCAACUAAGUCAGACGUGAAAUCCCUCGGCUUAACCGGGGAACUGCGUCUGAUACUGGAUGGCUCGAGUUUGGGAGAGGGAUGCGGAAUUCCAGGUGUAGCGGUGAAAUGCGUAGAUAUCUGGAGGAACACCGGUGGCGAAGGCGGCAUCCUGGACCAACACUGACGCUGAUGAGCGAAAGCCAGGGGAGCAAACGGG
This 253-nucleotide ribosomal RNA is filed under the name uncultured bacterium. RNAcentral describes it as "partial 16S ribosomal RNA". It matches the Rfam family "Bacterial small subunit ribosomal RNA", at positions 524 to 776 of the family's 1533-position model. The record is from RNAcentral.